RNAcentral lists this ribosomal RNA (427 nucleotides) under uncultured Acidobacteriota bacterium. RNAcentral describes it as "bacterial SSU rRNA". It matches the Rfam family "Bacterial small subunit ribosomal RNA", at positions 958 to 1385 of the family's 1533-position model. The record is from RNAcentral. Lineage: Bacteria; Pseudomonadati; Acidobacteriota.
AACGCGAAGAACCUUACCUGGGCUUGAACCGCACAGGAUCCUCCUUAGAAAUAGGGACUUCCCGCAAGGGACCUGUGUAGAGGUGCUGCAUGGCUGUCGUCAGCUCGUGCCGUGAGGUGUUGGGUUAAGUCCCGCAACGAGCGCAACCCUUACUCGUAGUUGCCACCCGCAAGGGGGAACUCUACGAGGACUGCUCCGGAUAACGGAGAGGAAGGUGGGGAUGAGGUCAAGUCAGCAUGGCCUUUAUGUCCAGGGCUACACACGUGUUACAAUGCGCGCCACAAAGCGUCGCGAACCCGCGAGGGGGAGCUAAUCGCAAAAAAGCGCGCUCAGUUCGGAUUGCAGUCUGCAACUCGACUGCAUGAAGCCGGAAUCGCUAGUAAUGGCGCAUCAGAACGGCGCCGUGAAUACGUUCCCGGGCCUUGUA